Molecule: ribosomal RNA, 119 nt
Filed under: Hucho hucho (huchen)
Lineage: Eukaryota; Metazoa; Chordata; Actinopteri; Salmoniformes; Salmonidae
Source: RNAcentral
GCUUACGGCCAUACCAGCCUGAAUGCUCCCGAUCUCGUCAGAUCUUGGAAGCUAAGCAAGGUCGGGUCUGAUUAGUACUCGGAUGGGAGACUGCCUGGGAAUACCAGGUGCUGUAAGCA